RNAcentral lists this non-coding RNA (29 nucleotides) under Rattus norvegicus (Norway rat). The record is from RNAcentral. Lineage: Eukaryota; Metazoa; Chordata; Mammalia; Rodentia; Muridae.
UGACAGUCACAGAAACGAUGGCAGACUGC